AAUAUCUUCAACAAACGGCGAUAGUCGGUUGUGCAGUUACCGCAGAUACCGACUAAGCAGUUGCCACCGUCAUCUCGGUACUCGGAUUGCAAUGAAAUGGCGCCGUAUAGACCGCGGCCGCGUCGUACAGCGGCAAGUCUCCCUGCGACGCCAUCAUCAACCCCCAAACGCGGGCGCGCGCUCCCAGUCCCGCCCGGCAGCGAGACGGGCUCCCUG
Long non-coding RNA from Ostrinia nubilalis (European corn borer), 216 nucleotides. RefSeq lists it as uncharacterized. The transcript has 3 exons. The record is from RefSeq and is a predicted model, not a curated record. NCBI's taxonomy places the organism in Eukaryota, Metazoa, Arthropoda, Insecta, Lepidoptera, Crambidae.